RNAcentral lists this ribosomal RNA (586 nucleotides) under Basidiomycota sp. A25M057. Its description in RNAcentral is "eukaryotic LSU rRNA". It matches the Rfam family "Eukaryotic large subunit ribosomal RNA", at positions 81 to 654 of the family's 3401-position model. The record is from RNAcentral. Lineage: Eukaryota; Fungi; Basidiomycota.
AAGUUACGGCGAGUGAAGCGGGAUGAGCUCAAAUUUGUAAUCUGGUGGACUCAGUUCAUCCGAGUUGUAAUCUAUAGAAGUGUUUUCCGCGCUGGACCGUGUCUAAGUCCCUUGGAACAGGGUGUCAGAGAGGGUGAGAAUCCCGUGCUUGAUACGACCACCAGUGCUAUGUGAUACACUUUCAACGAGUCGAGUUGUUUGGGAAUGCAGCUCAAAAUGGGUGGUAAAUUCCAUCUAAAGCUAAAUAUUGGCGAGAGACCGAUAGCGAACAAGUACCGUGAGGGAAAGAUGAAAAGCACUUUGGAAAGAGAGUUAAACAGUACGUGAAAUUGUUAAAAGGGAAACGAUUGAAGUCAGUCGUGCUCUCUGGGACUCAGCCGGUUCUUCCGGUGUACUUCCCAGUGAGCGGGUCAACAUCAGUUUAGAUCGCUGGAUAAAGGUAUUAGGAAGGUGGCUCCCUCGGGAGUGUUAUAGCCUAGUAUCGCAUACAGUGGUUUAGACUGAGGAACGCAGCUCGCCUUUAUGGCCGGGGUUCGCCCACGUCCGAGCUUAGGAUGUUGACAUAAUGGCUUUAAACGACCCGCUA